GAACUGAAGAGUUUGAUCAUGGCUCAGAUUGAACGCUGGCGGCAGGCCUAACACAUGCAAGUCGAGCGGAUGACGGGAGCUUGCUCCUUGAUUCAGCGGCGGACGGGUGAGUAAUGCCUAGGAAUCUGCCUGGUAGUGGGGGACAACGUUUCGAAAGGAACGCUAAUACCGCAUACGUCCUACGGGAGAAAGCAGGGGAC
RNAcentral lists this ribosomal RNA (200 nucleotides) under Pseudomonas hunanensis. RNAcentral's name for it is "partial 16S ribosomal RNA". It matches the Rfam family "Bacterial small subunit ribosomal RNA", at positions 1 to 214 of the family's 1533-position model. Lineage: Bacteria; Pseudomonadati; Pseudomonadota; Gammaproteobacteria; Pseudomonadales; Pseudomonadaceae. The record is from RNAcentral.